This 239-nucleotide non-coding RNA is filed under the name Holdemanella biformis. RNAcentral describes it as "Eubacterium biforme T-box sequence". It matches the Rfam family "T-box leader". From Rfam's summary of the family: Uncharged tRNA acts as the effector for transcription antitermination of genes in the T-box leader family. T-boxes are found upstream of many aminoacyl-tRNA synthetase genes and some amino acid biosynthetic genes usually in Gram-positive bacteria. Lineage: Bacteria; Bacillati; Bacillota; Erysipelotrichia; Erysipelotrichales; Erysipelotrichaceae. The record is from RNAcentral.
UCAAAGGCAAUGACGAAGAGCGCUGUUUUGCUAAGAAACUAAUAAGAGAGUCCGACAUUUGGUGAAAGCGGAUAGUGGAAACAAAAUCAGUAAAUCACUUCUGAGCUUGUGUGCUGAAAUAUAGUAAGUAUACACUUAAUAAAUCACGUUACAGGUUUCGGACUUGUUGGAGUCGAGUAGAGUGGCAUAGUUUUCUAUGCAAAUUGAGUGGUACCGCGGAUAUCAGAUUCGUCUCAUGU